RNAcentral lists this transfer RNA (63 nucleotides) under Sclomina pallens. RNAcentral describes it as "tRNA-Thr". It matches the Rfam family "tRNA". From Rfam's summary of the family: Transfer RNA (tRNA) molecules are approximately 80 nucleotides in length. Their secondary structure includes four short double-helical elements and three loops (D, anti-codon, and T loops). Lineage: Eukaryota; Metazoa; Arthropoda; Insecta; Hemiptera; Reduviidae. The record is from RNAcentral.
GUUUUAAUAGUUUAAAAAAAACAAUGAUCUUGUAAAUCAUAAAUAGAGUAAAUCUUUAAAACU